Molecule: transfer RNA, 75 nt
Filed under: Candidatus Woesearchaeota archaeon
Lineage: Archaea; Nanobdellati; Candidatus Woesearchaeota
Description: tRNA-Ile
Rfam family: tRNA
About the family: Transfer RNA (tRNA) molecules are approximately 80 nucleotides in length.
Source: RNAcentral
GGGCCCGUAGCUUAGCCUGGUUAGAGCGUCGGUCUUAUAAACCGAAGGUCCGGGGUUCGAAUCCCCGCGGGCCCA